CUGAGCCUCAGAUUCAUCUGUAAAAUGGGAAAAGAAAGGAUCUCUGUGAGUUUUUAUGAGAUCAGUAUUAUUUGUCACAGUAGCUACUGUUUAUUAAGCCCCCCACCCCAACACCACCCUUUGUGCCAGGGGCUUUGUCAAGCACCUUCUAAGCAUGUAGUGUGAUACAGAGGUCAAGGGUGAAGGCUCUUGGGAACUGAUAGAACUUGGUUAAAAGCCCAGACCUGCUACUUGCUAACUGCGGGAACCCAGGCAAGACUGUUAACCUCCCAGGGCCUCACCCUGCUCAUCUUUAAAAUGGGGAUGAUAAAUAGGAUGAUAAAAUGACAACGCCUGUCUCCACAGGUUAUCACACAGUGCCUUUAUUCAACAACAUGCCUUUGUCAGUUCCAUCCUCCCCGGGCAAAUGGGAGCGGUGGGAUGGGGUGUCCUGGGGCUUUGAAACCAUCCUGGUGUUUACUCCAGCCCAGAGAAGAGACUCGGUGGAACUCGUGAUUGGAAAGAUCUGCAGGAGAUUGCCUGUUCUGGAAUGAAGAUGCCAUCACACUGUGACACUGGAAGAAUGCUGACCUGAUGUCCGGGGGCCAGGAGCAGGGAUAGCUGUCCUGUUUAAAGGGGCGGGUCUCCCAACGGACCCACCGCUGACUGCUCAGUCCCUCAUUCCCCCUGGUAGAGUGUCCCAGCCACCUUUGUCCUCGCCUGCCUGCCGGCUGAGAGCUGGCCCCGGCUGUGGCCUGCAGAGCUACGUCUACCCAGCACCCCCUCGCCGUCUAGCGUGUGCACACCGCCUGCCUGUGGUCAGAUUCCUGAGUUUUCAUGCCCACUGCUUCCCAACCCCAGGUGCAAACCAGUCCCUGUCACCGGGGACUUUUGACUGAGCCUCACACGGGGGAAGGGGGCUGAGAUGGUCUCUUGCUGUUACAGACAGAGCAGGAGAGGAUAAGAGCUCGGGCGGGUGGGGGCCCUGGCUGAGCCCAAGGGGGCGCGGGACCCAACCUGGGAACGCUGCUGACCUGAGCAGCUGGGCCUCAGGGCGCCGGCCUGAGCCAACUCUUCUGCCCUCUUUCCCCGCCUCAUCGAGGGGGAGGCUCCGCGAACCCGCCGCCCAGUGUCUCCUCCUCCUCCUCCGGGCCUGUCACCAUUUCCACACACAGCAGGGUCUGUGGGGGCGGAGGCUUUUUCCAGACAUGUAUUUAAGUGAGGAGAGAAAACAAGGCGAGUCGCCCAGGAUUUGCCAAGUCAGUAGGCAGGAACACAACUCGAGAGGCCAAAAAUAAGACGGCGGCGAGGGUCACCCUGCUCUUCUGAGCCGGGCGCGGGUGACGGCCCGUGCUGAGCAUUCCACAAUCACACUUCUGUCUGAGGGUGCCCCUUCAUCCCGGGGCAUCGGCCUCCUGGUCAGAAGGUGGCAGAGCCCUGAUUGUGGGCAGUGAGCAAUGGUGACUCAGGAAAAUUCGAAAGGACACAGGGAACACCCCCAAAGUCAUCUGGGGACAGGCCCUGGUUCCCCCUGCCGGUCAGGGAGCCAGGAGUUCUGGUCUCCCAUUGUAAAGGAGGAAUUUCUGAAGUUCUCUCUGGAACUUUGGCAGAAUUCUGUGGGAUCUUUCAGAGGAAGCAUUACGCUUUGGGUGUUUUUCUGGAGGGGAAAUUACUAAGAUUUCUUUCACCUUUAUAGCUAUUUGUGAAUUAGCUCCUUUUCCCUUUUAGCUCCAGAUUAUAUUUGUCUCUUUAUUCUGAUGCAGCAUCUGUUACCUUGUAUGACGAACAGUACUCCCGAAAGCAAGUAAGGACAGUAAUAAUAGCUAACAUUUAUUCAGCCCUUAUGGCAUGCCAGGUACUGGUCUCUCUGUGUAAUUUUUGUGGUUCAUCAAAUCUGAGGCUCCAUCAGUCUUCAGAUAUGCCAUGUAUGAUGUACCACUAAAGAAUACUGCCAAUUAAUCCACGACAUGCCAUUGAUUUUAAGAUUCACUUGGCGCUCAGAAAUGUUAAAACGGGAACGUUAGAAUCAAUGAAAUGCAGUAACCGAUUCUCAGUUGUCAUCCUUGCCUUACAGCCUUACCGAGGAACAGAGAAGUUGGGUAAACCUGCCUGAUGCCACAGAGCGACUAUGUGGUGGAAAUGGGAUAUGAACCCAGGUUCAGGCUUCAAAACCUGGGCUCCUAACCGCCACGCUGUAUUGUGUCUGAGAAGUGGUUUCUGUCUAUCCACCGGCGGGACAGAAGGAGGGACACAAAACACAAGAGGGAGAGCUGGACCCCACCCUCUGCUCCCUCUUCCUCAUCGCCCCCAGGGCCAGUGUUGAUGCCCCGUCUAAAAACUGCUCCUCCUCUCACUCCCAGCAGCUGGCACCCUGGUUCUGUCCUUCCUUGCCUCCCUCUUGCCCCUGCUUGGACUUCUGCUGUAGCCUCUUAGCUGUCGCCCUCCUCCAAUCUUUCCCCCACACCUCCACACACACAGACACACACACUGAGACAGUCAUCUUCUUAAAAUGUGAAUCUGGUCUUGUCGCUGUUCCAAAACCUUGAAGAGAUCCAAAUCUUAGCAAGCGAUUUCUCACUCCUUUAGCUGUUUCAGCACCUACUCUGUGCCCGGCUCAGAGGAUGGAAAGGUGAGCAACCCCCAGCGUGGUCCGCAGCCAUGGUCUCACAGAGAAGCGAGACUCCUCAGUGGGCAGGUAUGACUCAGUGUGAAAAUGCUUCCAGGGGUGGGAGUGAAGUGCUGGGCUGGUGGGAGGAGCACCUGCUCUGGGGACUCGGCGACCCCUUCGUGGAGGUUGAGUGGGAGUUCACCAGGCAAAGAACAUCGAGGAUUCCCAAGCAGAGGGAACAGCAGGUACAGUGGGCCAGAGCUGACGGAGAGGUUGGAGCAGAGUAUCAGUGGGGUGUGUCCCAGGUGAGUCUAGAGGGUUAGGCUUGGAGUGGCUGGGCAAGGCUGUCUCUAACUGCCGACACCUUUCCUUUUCAGCCUCUGCUCCCUUCUCCUCCUCUCCCCACGGUAUCUCUCUGCAGUAGGUACUUGAUUCUCAGACAGGCAUCUUCCUCUUCCCCCAUCCUCCACAGGCAGUGACAUUCUCAUCAGCAAACUUGUCCUUCCAGACCCUCCCUGGUGAAAAUAACCCUGACCCUUGACUUAGCUCUCUGGCCUCUUGAGCCAGGCAAAAGCCUGGAAAACUUAUCUUGGGCUCAAAAUAGGCGGGGAAGGGGGGAUUUUGGAGAAUUUUUAACAGAAUUCAGCUGAGUAAAAGCCAAAGUUCUUACAAAGGCCUGUGAGACCCUGCACAGACUGGGUGACCUGCCCCCGCAGCCUUGACCCCCAUCUUCCACUGUCUUCUCUUUGCCAGCUCUGUUUCGGCUACCCCCGUCUCCUUGCUCGUCCUCAAACACGGCCCCCACCCUGCAUCCCUGCCCCAUGUCCUUUGCACUUGCUGUUUCUAGUACACCUCUCCCCUUCCUUAUUUGUACAUCUUCAUCAGAUUUUGUUCAGAUAUCACCUCUCAGAGCGGUACAUCCUAAUACACUAUUUAAAAUUGCAACUCGUAUCAUGCUCUUCCCUCCUUUUUCUCCGCAGCACUCACCAUCUUCAAGAGCUUGUAUGAUUCACUUAUUUGUUUACUGUCUGUCUUUUCCCCUGAGAACUGAGCUCCAGGAGGGCAAGGAUUUGGGUCUGCCUGGUUCACUCGGUGUCCUCAGCACUAGCAACAGCACCUGGCAUACAGUAGGUGUGCAAAUAAGUAAAUAUUUGUUGGUUGAACAAAUGAAUUCUGAGUAGUGACUGUGUGCCAGGUAGGCUUGGCCCCGGCUGCCGUGGAGGCUGGACUGCUGCAGGAACAGGGUUUGGGCUUCUCCAAGGGUGCCGGCCAGGCUGGUUCUGGCGGGCAGUGGGACAGGUCCCUGACAGCAGGUUCACAGAAAACCAGACAGAACAAAAUGGGCAAAGAGGACCAUCCUCAUAGAGGCCUCGCUUCGGCAGGAAGGCAGACGGUCAGUGAGUCCCUUUCUGGGAGGUUUCCCUGGAGAAGUCACCUGACACGCUGGUCACGGUUACUACAUCAAGAGCUGCACCUGUGCACUUGUGCUGCCCUUAAAUCAUGUUUCCUAAGGAUGUUCACGUCAAAGGACAACACUCAUGCUACAACAUCAAGCGGAUAGAAUAUUGUGCAGGAGACACCUGUACAAGGAAGGAAGUAGACGGUGAUUACCUCUGAGUAACUGGAACUUCCACUGAAGAAGAAACUUUGCUUUCUCCUUUACACUUUUCUGCUUUGUAUGGAUGUUCUAAGAUAGACAUGCUUUGCCUUCAUGAUAAUUGGAUUUGAAAGCAGCAUUAAAAAAAGAAACAGAAAGGAAAUGCGAGUUCCCAGAAGCUGAGGAAGUACAGCAGAGGCCAGGCCCGGAGCAGAGAACUGACCCAUCCCUUUCGGGAAAAGGCAGCAGCCACGUGGAGUGGAGCAAGCCUGGUGCCCCGCCAACCGGACAGCCGGCCUCUGGGCUCACUUCCUCCAGUGCGACUGCCCAGGGGCAGAGCUGAGAACGGUGGUGGGAGUGAGCACAGCCGGGUCCACUCCCCUUCCUAUUGCCCAGGCCACGGGGGUCUGUCCCCUCUUCUUGGCCCUGUAGCACCUGGAGUUUGCCCCUCCGUCACCUCUGCUUCCAUCACAUCUCACCAGAAGCCUGCUGCAUUUAUAACCUUGUGUCUCCCCUAAGUAUGUACCCAGGGGUUCUCAGAAUGUGGUCCCCAUACCAGCAGCAUCAGCACUCACUCAGGAACUUGUUAGCAAUACAGAUUCACAGGCCCCACCCCAGACCCUCUGAAUCUGAGACUCUGGCAGGUGAAGCCCAGGAAUCCAUGUUUUAACAAGCCCUCCAGGGCUACAGUUUGACAGUGAUACAGCCCCGCCAUGGUCCAUCAUCUUACACAUUGCCAUGAUUUCCACUUAAGAGCUGGGACUCUGAGACCAUACUUUAUUAUUUUUUUUGAGCUCAUACUUUUAUUUCAACCUUUGUGCUCCACAGCUGCCUGGACUUCAGGCUGUCCUGUGGAGGUCCGGGUUGGCGCUCCGUGUUCAUCGUGCCACGGACAUGGGUUGAACCGGAGCUCGCACACUGUGGCAUCAGAGCCCUGGCUGCUCAAUUGGAAGACCAAGACUGAUUCCCCAGGAGACCCUGUGGGCCUGGCCCCCUGUAGGAUGAGGGACGCAGGCUCCCUCCGGUGAUGACAGCCAGUGGCAGUCAGGAUGGACACACGCUGCCGUGGAGGGGCGCAGCGCCACCUGCUGGCCAGAAGGACACCAGCAGCGAUGCUGGCUGAUUAAUGCAGGGACCCACACACACGCACGCACGCACGCACACACACACUCAACAGGGACACCAUGACAAGCAAGCACGUGUCUCCUCCCACUGCAUGGGGGCGGACACAUCCACACGUGGAUGUCUGGGCCCGUGGGCAUGUGGGGCUCUCUGCCACACGGCCUGGCAGAUAGCACUGAAUUCACUCAUGUACUCAUUUCUUCCUUUACCAAACGUUCUUUCAGAUAUGCCAAGCCCACAGUUGCUAUCCCUGGCUGGGUGAUGAUCAAGAGACCAGGCAGUAACUAGGCGAUGUAGGUAAGGGUCCCAGGAGAGAUGCGCCUGGUGAGGUCGCAGAGGCAGCCCCUAACCCAUCUAGACUGGAGUUGGGGGCAGGGACAAGUUGCCCAAGUGAUCCAGCCCCUGCUGGGUCAAAGCCUGUGAGCAGGAGAUGGCUGGGUGAAGGAGGCAGAGGUCAAAUAGAGCGAAGCACAGAGGAGGAGCUGGAGGGGAGAGUUGAGAUCCUGGGCAGAGGGCCUUACACAUGGGCCACAGAGUCUGGACUUUGUCCCUGCAGGCAGUGGGGAGCCAUGGAAAGCUUCUAGCCGGGAAACAGCCCGGCCGGAUUCCGGAGCCAUAGCUACUGACACGUCUGUACCGAAGCAUAGGCCCUGAGGGUCUCUCAGCCCCACCUAGGGCUGGGGGCCUUGCAUGUGGUUUGUCCCUGGGUACUGCCUCUUCUUUCUGCAGCAGCAGUCCUCGGAUGUGUCUGAGAAGGGGAGAGGCGCACCCCCGCCCCAGUCUCCAGAGAGAAGCCUGUGUCCACUCUAGAAAUGAAGCAAACAGCAGCCACUGUUAAGGCAGGCAGCCUAUGUGCCCAGAAGAUGCCCAUUUUCUACUCACCAGGCCGCCCAGACAGCUCAGAGGGUGAGAGGUCU
Long non-coding RNA from Bubalus bubalis (water buffalo), 6223 nucleotides. RefSeq lists it as uncharacterized. The transcript is spliced from 3 exons. The record is from RefSeq and is a predicted model, not a curated record. NCBI's taxonomy places the organism in Eukaryota, Metazoa, Chordata, Mammalia, Artiodactyla, Bovidae.